CCUGAGAAACCCAAAAGAUCGAAUGGGGAGAUUCAUCGUCAGCUCAUUUUGUAUAUAUAUAAGUUGUGAUGUGGAUUACUACUUGUAGUUAAAUCUGUACAUGCUUGUAUAUUUAGUUGCAAGAUGUUGUCGGCGUGCACUUCUCCCCUAGUAGGACGUCGCGACCCGUUAAGUUUGUCGGUCUACGGCCCGAGUGGUAGACUUUAAUUUUUUAUUAAAUUAAAGACCCUUGGUGAUUUCUGACUGGCACUUGGCGGUAUUCGUAUGGUAUUAAGCCGCAAAUUAUAUGCGUCCAUGGCCGUCGCAAGCAAGAUUAAUUUUUUAGUAGUACGGACCUAGUGCCGUCGCUAUAAUUAAUCAGCUGUUGGUUGUACGGUAAUCUAGGACUGGCUUUAAAUUAAAAUACCGGUCAGCGAUGCUACUGCUUUGGGUACUUUCAGGACCCGUCUUGAAACACGGACCAAGGAGUCUAACAUGUGCGCGAGUCAUUGGGAUAUUUUAAUAAAUUAAACCUAAAGGCGUAAUGAAAGUAAAGGUCGUCCUUGCGUCGGCCGAGGGAGGAUGAGUUUUAUUAAGAUAUAACUCCGCACUCCCGGGGCGUCUCAUUCUCAUUACGAGAAGAGGCGCACCUAG
Molecule: ribosomal RNA, 633 nt
Filed under: Pseudognaptodon sp. RDB-2000
Lineage: Eukaryota; Metazoa; Arthropoda; Insecta; Hymenoptera; Braconidae
Description: eukaryotic LSU rRNA
Rfam family: Eukaryotic large subunit ribosomal RNA
Source: RNAcentral